AGAGAGAGAGAGAGAGAGAGCCUUCCAAUAUAUAAAAGGCUAUUAUACACAUGACUCAGCAAUAACCAUCACAAAAUCUGUCCAUGUGUCAGUCUAAACAAUAUUAGGAUUCAAGUAAGCAGAUAAGCUUCAGUUUGUCAUUGCAUAAAAUACAAUUUCGUAAAGGAGGCUGCUAACUUCCCCAAAAAACCCAUUUUCUAGAACUAUAACAGAAUAUAGGUUCAUGUCUCCCCAAAAUCAAUGAGACAUCAGAUAAGCAUAUGAUUUUUGGGAGGGGGUUUUCCAUCAUUAGUUAAUUUACAUUUCAAUUCUUCUUCUUCUCCUUCUUGUCUAUCCUUCAGACAAUAUCUCACAUUCUCUCUCUUUUUCUUUCCUUCAAAAUAAAUUUUAUCUAUUGUGAUGUAUAAUGCUAAACAUAAAAAAAAAGGGAAGAAAAGAAAAGAGGGAAGGGGGAUGGGUUCA
RNAcentral lists this unclassified non-coding RNA (462 nucleotides) under Hevea brasiliensis (rubber tree). The record is from RNAcentral. Lineage: Eukaryota; Viridiplantae; Streptophyta; Magnoliopsida; Malpighiales; Euphorbiaceae.